GUGCUCAUUUUAGCAGCACCGAAAUUAGAAUGUAACAAAGCAGAUUAGCAUGGCCUCUGCACAAGGAGGACACACAAAUUCAUAAAGCAUUCCAUAUCUCU
This 101-nucleotide small nuclear RNA is filed under the name Pan paniscus (pygmy chimpanzee). Lineage: Eukaryota; Metazoa; Chordata; Mammalia; Primates; Hominidae. The record is from RNAcentral.